UACGGAGGGUGCUAGCGUUAAUCGGAAUUACUGGGCGUAAAGCGCGCGUAGGCGGAUAUAUAAGUCAGGAGUGAAAUCCCUCGGCUUACCCGAGGAAUAGCUUUUGAUACUGUAUAUCUUGAGUUCGGGAGAGGUCAGUGGAAUUCCAGGUGUAGGAGUGAAAUCCGUAGAUAUCUGGAGGAACAUCAGUGGCGAAGGCGACUGUCUGGCCCGAUACUGACGCUGAGGUGCGAAAGCAUGGGUAGCAAAC
RNAcentral lists this ribosomal RNA (250 nucleotides) under uncultured prokaryote. Its description in RNAcentral is "partial 16S ribosomal RNA". It matches the Rfam family "Bacterial small subunit ribosomal RNA", at positions 524 to 773 of the family's 1533-position model. The record is from RNAcentral.